RNAcentral lists this ribosomal RNA (254 nucleotides) under uncultured bacterium. Its description in RNAcentral is "partial 16S ribosomal RNA". It matches the Rfam family "Bacterial small subunit ribosomal RNA", at positions 524 to 776 of the family's 1533-position model. The record is from RNAcentral.
CACGUAGGGGGCAAGCGUUGUCCGGAUUUAUUGGGCGUAAAGAGCUCGUAGGCGGCUUAGUAAGUCGGGUGUGAAACCUCCAGGCUCAACCUGGAGACGCCACCCGAUACUGCUGUGGCUAGAGUCCGGUAGGGGAGCGUGGAAUUCCUGGUGUAGCGGUGAAAUGCGCAGAUAUCAGGAGGAACACCAGCGGCGAAGGCGGCGCUCUGGGCCGGUACUGACGCUCAGGAGCGAAAGCGUGGGGAGCGAUCCGG